CAGAGGAGCCAAGCGUUGUCCGGAUUGACUGGGCGUAAAGCGCACGCAGGCGGUCGCGCGCGUGGGGUGUGAAAUCUGGCCGCUUAACGGCCAGGCGCCAUCCCAUACGGCACGACUGGAGGGCUGCAGAGGUCGAUGGAAUUGCCGGUGUAGUGGUGAAAUGCGUAGAGAUCGGCAGGAACACCCAGGGGGAAACCAGUCGACUGGGCAGCACCUGACGCUGAGGUGCGAGAGCGUGGGGAGCGAACCGGAUUAGAUACCCGGGUAGUCCACGCCGUAAACGAUGGCCACUCGGCCUUUGGAGGCGGAAUCUCCGUCUGUGGGGCCUUAGCUAACGCGGGAAGUGGCCCGCCUGGGAACUACGAGCGCAAGCUUA
This 376-nucleotide ribosomal RNA is filed under the name uncultured organism. Its description in RNAcentral is "bacterial SSU rRNA". It matches the Rfam family "Bacterial small subunit ribosomal RNA", at positions 526 to 896 of the family's 1533-position model. The record is from RNAcentral.